Molecule: non-coding RNA, 97 nt
Organism: Phyllosticta paracitricarpa
Lineage: Eukaryota; Fungi; Ascomycota; Dothideomycetes; Botryosphaeriales; Phyllostictaceae
Source: the annotation of a GenBank genome assembly
UCUUCCGUGGCGCAAUUGGCUAGCGCGUCUGACUGUUAAGUUUCGUUAAAGGAGACUGGCUAUCAGGAGGUUGACAGUUCAAGCCUGUCCGGGAGAG